Ficedula albicollis (Collared flycatcher) is the source of this 967-nucleotide long non-coding RNA. RefSeq lists it as uncharacterized. The transcript has 3 exons. Lineage: Eukaryota; Metazoa; Chordata; Aves; Passeriformes; Muscicapidae. The record is from RefSeq and is a predicted model, not a curated record.
GCUGAGGAGAUGUGCCAGGAGCUGGGGUGACAGGCCAGCCAGGCACGGGUGACAGCCCUGGGCUGGGCAGUGCCUCCGGAGGGACGUGAAGGGCUGUGGGCACUGGUGGUGAUGGAGGAAGCGCCAUGUGCACCACCAUCCUGAUCCUGGGUCCACUGGUCCUGCUGCUGCGGCGCCGCUUCUGCAACAAAGUCGAACCGUACUCGGAGGGAGAGGAAGAGAUCAGGAGAGAGGCUGGCUCUGACCCUCACACCACGUAACAGCACUUUGGAGUAAAGGCCAGCUGGGAUGCAGCAGUUAUCUGGGAUGAUGCAGCUCUGAGGAAACUGGGGGAAGGACGUGCAAAAAGCCCAGUCUUCACCUUCAACUCCCCUGCACUCUGCAGCUGGCACUGAGCACAUCCCAGCCUUGGCACCUGCUGAAACCCUGGGCAAAACAACCCAUGACAGCAACAAACCCACAUCACCCAGCUGCCCUCCCACAGCUCAGAGAGGACCAGGCUCUGGGCUGAACACUGGGGCAGGAAGGAAAUUUGCCUGGGUGAGGCUGAGCCCUGGGUGGUGGCCAGCAGCCCCAGCUGCAGGCACGGAGCGAUCGGGGGUCCUGCUCCCUGCCAUGGGGCUCUCACGUGCUCCACAGCUUUCCCAUGGAUGUAAAUCCAUUAAUAAAAGGUCAGUUUGCAGACACAGCUCGCUGUAGAUGACAGCACUAGAGGCACAUCAGCUUCUCCUAAGCACCAGUCUCAUGCUGGGUUUAUUUGGUCCAUUUGUGGCAGGGGGAGAGUUGCUUUCGGCAUUCAGAGAUGACUUGUGUCUGGGAGAAGUAGAAGGGUGAGAUAUAUUUUUGGCUCUAUUUAGCCACAAAAAUUUGGGUUUAGAAUAAAGAGAAAUAUUCCUGUUUGCUGCCAAACUGAGGCAGACAAUCCCUUGUGCAAGCCUUCGUUUGUUUGAGGACUCGGUGUCCUGUU